RNAcentral lists this transfer RNA (73 nucleotides) under Marmota monax (woodchuck). Its description in RNAcentral is "tRNA.Ala". It matches the Rfam family "tRNA". Rfam says of the family: Transfer RNA (tRNA) molecules are approximately 80 nucleotides in length. Their secondary structure includes four short double-helical elements and three loops (D, anti-codon, and T loops). Lineage: Eukaryota; Metazoa; Chordata; Mammalia; Rodentia; Sciuridae. The record is from RNAcentral.
GUGGGGCUGUGGCUCAGUGGUAGAGCGCUUGCCUGGCAUGUGUGAGGCCUUGGGUUUGAUCCUCAGCACCACA